Small nuclear RNA from Phragmites australis (common reed), 161 nucleotides. RefSeq annotates it as U1 spliceosomal RNA. The transcript has a single exon. Lineage: Eukaryota; Viridiplantae; Streptophyta; Magnoliopsida; Poales; Poaceae. The record is from RefSeq and is a predicted model, not a curated record.
AUACUUACCUGGACUGGGUCUAUGGUCGAUCAAGAAUAACCAUGGCCUAAGUCAGUGGUCUCCAUUGCACUUGGGAGGAGCACUGGCUUACCAUCUCCUCAAGUAGGAGAGUGGACGUCAUAAUUUGUGGCAGGUGGGGUAUGCGUUCGCGCGGCCCCUAC